GGCUGUGACGCGCGGCGGAGCGGGGCGGGCCGAGGCGGCGGAGGCCGGAAGCGGGAAGCGGGCUGGCGGGCGGCGAUGGAGGUGCCCUCGGUGCCGGCCGCCUCGACGUCGGGCGCGGCGGGGCGCGGGCCCAUCAAGGGCAUCCUGAAGAAGGGCGGCGGCAAGCUAUCGGCGGGCGGAGCGGCCCCCGGGGCGCGGCGGGUCAGUCCGGCCCGCGAUGAGGACGAGCACGGUAAAAAAUCCCAGAAGUGGGAUGAAAUGAACAUCAUAGCUACAUACCACCCAGCAGGCAAAGAUUAUGGCUUGAUGAAAAUAGAUGAGCCAAGUACUCCUUAUCACAGCAUGGUAGGAGAAGAUGAUGAGGAUGCAGUGAGCGAUUCGGAAUCAAAUGAGCCCUUAAAAGCAGAUGUGUUGAGUAAAAAACUGGCAGCUGCAGCUGAAGGUAAAGGACCUAAGAUUAUAGCAAAGCAGGAGGAAAGCAGUGAGGAGGAGGAAGAGGAUGAAGAAUUAACACCCGAAGAACGAGAGAAGAAGAAACAGUUCGAAAUGAAGAGAAAAAUGCACUACAAUGAAGGACGAAACAUCAAACUGGCAAGACAGCUCAUUGCAAAGGAACUACAUGGUGAAGAAGAGGAUGAUGAUGAGGAUGAAGAAAUGCAUGAUGCUGCAGAUGUAGAAACAAUGAAUACAGAAGCUACCGAACAUGGGGAAAGGAGGGCUCCAAUAGGCAACCUUAUGACCUUUCUUCAUGGCUUGAAGCUGCCAUCUCUCUGCUCUCUGCUGUAAAACAGAGACAACUCCGCUCCCCAGCUGCAUUCGUCAGUGGAAAGAAGAACCUUUGCAGCAUUUUUCCAUCUCUAUUGUUGAAGUCCAUUCCACCUUGCCUCAUAACCAGCUUCAGAGCCACAACUGACUGAGAUUUCUUGCUGAUUGAAAUGAAGAUGGCCAGUCCAGUCAGUGAUGCACAUGCUACUCCUGACCAGCUGGAAAGUAGAGCACACAGCAUAGAAGAAAUCUGUCCAGAACUGUAACUGCUUGUCAAAGACACAAAUAUAAACAUCGCUUCAUGAUUUUUGCAAUUAAGGCUCUUAAAUAUUGAGAAGCAUAUCAGUUACAAUGUUGUAUUGCCAAGAAUGUUAAUUUUAGACUUGUCCAUUAGGCAGAAAAAACUGUCUAAUUGAUUUAUUCUUGUGCCUAGUAUUUCAUGGAGAAUACUGCUUCAUAAUCUGUUCAACCAGAAUGGCAUUCGCUGUAUGUAUAACGCUGAUUAUCUUGCGUAAUGUACUGUUACUCUUCAUGCUUCGAAGCAGACAGUAUCUUUUGGUUUUUCACUAUUUAUUUGACAGUGUUCUAGGUGUGUUAUCUCUUACAGAAAGGUUUGGGAUUCAAGAGCCAAACGGUACAGCAUAUAUCAGAUUGACAUGCAAGCUAUUUAUCAGAUGUGUUAAGCAGUUUAAAAAGGGAUUAUUUAAGUCUUAGAACUUCUUUGUAAAAUGUUGACCUGUUAAUCUAGAUUUCAGGAUGUUAUUAUACCUGUACUUUCCCAGUCUUUAGAAGAGCUGUAUUAUUUUUUAAGAGUGGUAUUUGGAAUCAGUUGUUAGUUUCAGAGGCAGUACUAACUCUGGUGGAGGUAAUGGUUUUACACUGGAAAUGUGCUAACUUGAACUUUGCAUUUAACUGUCAUUAUCUCUUCCAUUGGGACUGGAUGUUUUGAGAGGGUCUCUCUGGCUUAUCACAAGAACAUAGAAGUUCCCUCCAACUUUUCCCUUAAAACCACAUCCGCUGUCACUCUUCUGGCUCUUGUUUCAAACUUCUGUCCUUUCUGGUUGGCGUGAAGAGUGCCUGUGCUACUAGCACCUGAGAAAAAACACCCACCCAUGAGAAAAUCCACAUCAGGACUGUGAAGAUGAGCUGAGUUUAGGUGCUGGUUGUUAUAAAUAACUGCUGAUGGUCUCGUACUCAUUUGGGGUUGGUCACCUGCAUACUGAAAACCACUGGUCUAAAUCUUCCUGUACCCAUUGCAACUUAGAGCAGCUGCUUUUGUAAAAUGAAGGCUGUUUGGAAGAAUAGAAGGGAAACUGCCUAAUUCAAAUGCUUGUUUACAGUGUGGUUGUAUAGCUCCUGUAAAGAGGGAUUCUGAACUUCCAAAUUGCUGUGAACAGCUUCCCACUUGAUGGAACUUGACUGGUGAAUGUUCCAGUAUUCAGAGUAGUUCCUGGGGUUUAUUACACAAAUGAAGUAUACACUUAAGCUUUAGCUUGGUUAUGGGAUACAGUGUAUAGCUUUUAAUUUUGAUCUGAAUUUGAUAUGUUGCAAAAAUCCAUAUAAUUAUAUGGAUCUAUUUUAAAAUGUCUUUUUGUCCACUGUACAUGUGAAGUUUGAAUAAAGAAAUGAAAGUUAUUUUACAGUUACAUGCAUUCUCAAGUGUGAGCUUUCAUGAAAUCCCAGAGAUUGAGAGUGAAUAAGGCAAUAGGGUGCUGUCCUUUGAAAGAUUUAUACAGGAAUAAUUCAUUAGAAUGGAUGCUUUGCCAAAGAUACCUACAAGUUGUGCUAACUGGGUGUUGCAGUGUGCCUUUCCCAACUAUCUCCUCUCCUUAGUAGGUAACAGAGUUGUCAGUUGUGGGAUAUUUAGUCUUCUAAGGGCCUGAAUCAGGAUUAAUAGUGUCUUUUCACAAGAAAGAGAUGAAGUUUUGAUUCAGUCCAGUGUAGUGAUGCUAAUUUUUCAAUAUGGAGAAUGCUGUUCUAUUUCUUCUUGUAUCAGACAUGGUCACUUCUAUAGAAUAAACAAGGGGCAAAGAGAAAGCGUUUAGAUACUUGACUACUAAAGUCACUUGCUGUAGCUUUAAAUUUGGCUCCCAAGUGUAGGAUUUCAAAACUUAAAGUUUACACCCUUUACAUACCAGUUUGCAGUGUUCAGACUGUUGGAAUGUCCACACUGACCUGUGUUUCAAACCAAGUGGCUGACGGUCCGUCUGCCCCAGCCAGGGCAGCGAGACCCUGCUGAGAGAGGGGCAGCAGUCGGCAACGCUACAUGAUGUUCAGGCUGGAGCAUGAACGGGUCAAGAUUUGACCUGUGGGUAUGGGUAAUGCAGGUGCCUCCUGUGAUGCCGUAAAACAGAUUACUUGUACUUUGUGAUAAGUACAAGUGGGUACUUUGUACCCACAAUUAAGGCAGAAUCCAUCAGAAGCAGCUCUUACAUGAGCUGAUGUCCUGCCCUCCUUCCCCCCACGUUUUCUGUGUCCAAGACCUUGUUUUCAUUUUGGUGCUCAGUGGGGGUACUUUGUACCAUAGAAUGCCUGCAUUUUGUUUAAUAAACAAAAAAAAAAGCCCACUUUGCUAACUUCCAGUAAAGACUUUCCCUGCUAUGGCUUCCAAAAUCCAGUUUACAGUAUACAUAACUGCAUGAAGAUGGUUUUAAAUAAACCUCAGAAUAUAUAGUAGGUCCCUUCAUCAGAGAGAUGGUUUUGAGCUCUCCCUUUUCCAUGUCACCAAGCCCCCAAGUUGUAGUUAGAUGCCAUUUUGGAACUUGUACUGGUUUCGGUUAUGGGUUUUAUGAAAGGCUUUGUUCUCCUCUUCAUUCUCUCCAGUGCUAGCAAAAAUUCUGUUCAUGUUUCUUCAUCUCACUUGGAGUGCAACCUGAUGUACCUGACACUGCUUUUAACUGAGAGGCUGGUUUACUUCAUUUUGUUCAGGCUUACACCUUCAUGCAUUUUAAAAGCUAAAAUACAAUGCAAGUUUACUUUUAGUAACCAGAGAUAGUCUAUAUAGAUUUUUUUUUUUUAAAAAAAGCAUGCCCGAUUUCCUUCUAUCGUGGAAAUAUCAAUUAUAGUUUCCUACUGAAUGGGGACAAGCGAAGAAAUGCCUUUUCUGUUUUUACAUUUGAUGGGUACUUAGCUUGCAUGCAGGUCUUAAUCUUGGGGUGCAUAUGGUAAAGGCUCAUUCGUACAGUAAAGAGUGGUGUAAAGAGGAAACAAGACACGCAGCCCUUACUAAUGUAGACACUGAGCUCCACAGCAUAAUAAUUGUGAGGCUUCUCACACAGGUUUAAGUCCUCAAGCUGCGUCCUGUUUAGAGAAAGUGUUUUUCAAUAUGCUUCCAAUAGGAAGAUCACUUGCAAAUAAGAGCCUUAACUCUGUCUUAAAGUUCGUUCGUUUUUUUUCCUUAAAGUUUCUUUCACACUGAGUUGUACACAGUUCAUGGAAACUGCAAAUAUUUUUUCCACAGCUCAUUCUCUCAUGUUGAACUUGUGUAUCUUACCAGAACUCUUUGUUUCUGUAAUAUGCUUUUUGUGGUGUUUAUGAUGAUACCACCUCACAAAUGUAAUUAUUCUGUUUGAAACCAGUGUUAAGUGUCACAACAUAAAUAAAAACAUUGUUUUCAUUACUGCCAUAUGGCACUGA
Molecule: RNA transcript, 4401 nt
Organism: Grus americana (Whooping crane)
Lineage: Eukaryota; Metazoa; Chordata; Aves; Gruiformes; Gruidae
Gene: PPP1R2
Gene name: protein phosphatase 1 regulatory inhibitor subunit 2
Exons: 8
Source: RefSeq, a predicted model, not a curated record